This 438-nucleotide ribosomal RNA is filed under the name uncultured Chryseobacterium sp. RNAcentral describes it as "bacterial SSU rRNA". It matches the Rfam family "Bacterial small subunit ribosomal RNA", at positions 28 to 469 of the family's 1533-position model. Lineage: Bacteria; Pseudomonadati; Bacteroidota; Flavobacteriia; Flavobacteriales; Weeksellaceae. The record is from RNAcentral.
GAUGAACGCUAGCGGGAGGCCUAACACAUGCAAGCCGAGCGGUAUGGAUCUUUCGGGAUCCAGAGAGCGGCGUACGGGUGCGGAACACGUGUGCAACCUGCCUUUAUCAGGGGGAUAGCCUUUCGAAAGGAAGAUUAAUACCCCAUAAUAUUUAGAAUGGCAUCAUUUUAAAUUGAAAACUCCGGUGGAUAGAGAUGGGCACGCGCAAGAUUAGAUAGUUGGUGAGGUAACGGCUCACCAAGUCUGCGAUCUUUAGGGGGCCUGAGAGGGUGAUCCCCCACACUGGUACUGAGACACGGACCAGACUCCUACGGGAGGCAGCAGUGAGGAAUAUUGGACAAUGGGUGGGAGCCUGAUCCAGCCAUCCCGCGUGAAGGAUGACGGCCCUAUGGGUUGUAAACUUCUUUUGUAUAGGGAUAAACCUACUCUCGUGAGGGU